AUAUCAAUAAGCGGAGGAAAAGAAACCAACAGGGAUUGCCCUAGUAACGGCGAGUGAAGCGGCAACAGCUCAAAUUUGAAAUCUGGCCUUCUGGUCCGAGUUGUAAUUUGUAGAGGAUGAUUUUGGUUAGGUACCUUCCGAGUUCCUUGGAACAGGACGCCUUAGAGGGUGAGAGCCCCGUACGGUUGGAUGCCGAGCCUUUGUAAAUCUCCUUCGACGAGUCGAGUAGUUUGGGAAUGCUGCUCUAAAUGGGAGGUAAAUUUCUUCUAAAGCUAAAUACCGGCCAGAGACCGAUAGCGCACAAGUAGAGUGAUCGAAAGAUGAAAAGCACUUUGAAAAGAGGGUUAAAUAGUACGUGAAAUUGUUGAAAGGGAAGGAUUUAUGACCAGACCUUUGCCUUGCGGAUCAUCCGGUGUUCUCACCGGUGCACUUCGCUUGGUUGAGGCCAGCAUCAGUUUUGGCGGCGGGAUAAAGACUUCAGGAACGUGACUCCCCCGGGAGUGUUAUAGCCUGCUGUGUAAUACCGCCGCUGGGACUGAGGACCGCGCUUCGGCUAGGAUGCUGGCAUAAUGGUCAUCAAUCACCCGU
This 588-nucleotide ribosomal RNA is filed under the name Monographella nivalis var. nivalis. RNAcentral describes it as "eukaryotic LSU rRNA". It matches the Rfam family "Eukaryotic large subunit ribosomal RNA", at positions 40 to 652 of the family's 3401-position model. Lineage: Eukaryota; Fungi; Ascomycota; Sordariomycetes; Amphisphaeriales; Hyponectriaceae. The record is from RNAcentral.